GGAGUGGUAUCGAAGUGGUCAUAACGAGCACGAUUGGAAAUCGUGUGACAGUCAAAAGCUGUCCGAGGGUUCGAAUCCCUCCCACUCCGCCA
Molecule: transfer RNA, 92 nt
Filed under: Clostridiales bacterium
Lineage: Bacteria; Bacillati; Bacillota; Clostridia; Eubacteriales
Description: tRNA-Ser
Rfam family: tRNA
About the family: Transfer RNA (tRNA) molecules are approximately 80 nucleotides in length. Their secondary structure includes four short double-helical elements and three loops (D, anti-codon, and T loops).
Source: RNAcentral